This 711-nucleotide ribosomal RNA is filed under the name uncultured bacterium. RNAcentral describes it as "bacterial SSU rRNA". It matches the Rfam family "Bacterial small subunit ribosomal RNA", at positions 1 to 760 of the family's 1533-position model. The record is from RNAcentral.
CCCUUAGAGUUUGAUCAUGGCUCAGAAUGAACGCUGGCGGCAUGCCUAACACAUGCAAGUCGAACGAAGGCUUCGGCCUUAGUGGCGCACGGGUGCGUAACGCGUGGGAAUCUGCCCUCAGGUUCGGAAUAACAGCGAGAAAUUGCUGCUAAUACCGGAUGAUAUCGCGAGAUCAAAGAUUUAUCGCCUGAGGAUGAGCCCGCGUAGGAUUAGCUAGUUGGUGUGGUAAAGGCGCACCAAGGCGACGAUCCUUAGCUGGUCUGAGAGGAUGAUCAGCCACACUGGGACUGAGACACGGCCCAGACUCCUAUGGGAGGCAGCAGUGGGGAAUAUUGGACAAUGGGCGAAAGCCUGAUCCAGCAAUGCCGCGUGAGUGAUGAAGGCCUUAGGGUUGUAAAGCUCUUUUACCCGGGAUGAUAAUGACAGUACCGGGAGAAUAAGCUCCGGCUAACUCCGUGCCAGCAGCCGCGGUAAUACGGAGGGAGCUAGCGUUAUUCGGAAUUACUGGGCGUAAAGCGCACGUAGGCGGCUUUGUAAGUUAGAGGUGAAAGCCUGGAGCUCAACUCCAGAAUUGCCUUUAAGACUGCAUCGCUUGAAUCCAGGAGAGGUGAGUGGAAUUCCGAGUGUAGAGGUGAAAUUCGUAGAUAUUCGGAAGAACACCAGUGGCGAAGGCGGCUCACUGGACUGGUAUUGACGCUGAGGUGCGAAAGC